Molecule: unclassified non-coding RNA, 383 nt
Filed under: uncultured fungus
Lineage: Eukaryota; Fungi
Description: partial contains 5.8S ribosomal RNA and internal transcribed spacer 2
Rfam family: 5.8S ribosomal RNA (bases 1-133)
Source: RNAcentral
UGGCUCUCGCAUCGAUGAAGAACGCAGCGAAAUGCGAUAAGUAAUGUGAAUUGCAGAAUUCAGUGAAUCAUCGAAUCUUUGAACGCACCUUGCGCUCCUUGGUAUUCCGAGGAGCAUGCCUGUUUGAGUGUCUUGAAGUCAUCAACUCCACCCGUUUUUGAAACGGGUGUAUGUUGGAAGUGGGGGUCUGCUGCCGGCCCAUGCUGGCUGCUCCCCUCAAAUGCAUCGGUUGGGCCUGUGGGUCAAACUCGACUGGGCGUUGUACAAUCCUCGCUCCGACCGAGAUGUUCCCCCCUUUGCGUGCCCCACCUGGACCUGCCUUUAUUGGAGUGGCGGUCAAACUUUUGAAAUCUGACCUCAAAUCAGGUAGGACUACCCGCUGA